CCCCCAAAAAAUCAGAUAUGUGUGGCUAUGAAACCAAGAGCCCUUAAAGCUAUGGGCCAAGACUGAUAUUUUCCAUAGAUGCUAUAUGCACUUAAUAGCUAUAUCCUCUGAAGAGAUAGAUUU
Molecule: small nucleolar RNA, 123 nt
Filed under: Dipodomys ordii (Ord's kangaroo rat)
Lineage: Eukaryota; Metazoa; Chordata; Mammalia; Rodentia; Heteromyidae
Description: Small nucleolar RNA SNORA25 (ENSDORG00000023769.1)
Source: RNAcentral